RNAcentral lists this ribosomal RNA (492 nucleotides) under uncultured bacterium. Its description in RNAcentral is "partial 16S ribosomal RNA". It matches the Rfam family "Bacterial small subunit ribosomal RNA", at positions 29 to 507 of the family's 1533-position model. The record is from RNAcentral.
AGUGAACGCUGGCGGUAGGCCUAACACAUGCAAGUCGAACGGCAGCACAGUAAGAGCUUGCUCUUACGGGUGGCGAGUGGCGGACGGGUGAGGAAUACAUCGGAAUCUACUUUUUCGUGGGGGAUAACGUAGGGAAACUUACGCUAAUACCGCAUACGACCUACGGUUGAAAGCAGUGGAUCUUCUGACCUUGCGCGAUUGAAUGAGCCGAUGUCGGAUUAGCUAGUUGGCGGGGUAAAGGCCCACCAAGGCGACGAUCCGUAGCUGGUCUGAGAGGAUGAUCAGCCACACUGGAACUGAGACACGGUCCAGACUCCUACGGGAGGCAGCAGUGGGGAAUAUUGGACAAUGGGCGCGAGCCUGAUCCAGCCAUACCGCGUGGGUGAAGAAGGCCUUCGGGUUGUAAAGACCUUUUGUUGGGAAAGAAAAGCAGCAGGUUAAUACCCCGCUGUUCUGACGGUACCCAAAGAAUAAGCACCGGCUAACUUCGUG